This 162-nucleotide unclassified non-coding RNA is filed under the name soil metagenome. RNAcentral describes it as "partial internal transcribed spacer 1". The record is from RNAcentral.
AAGAGACGUUGCCCUUCGGGGUAUACCUCCCACCCUUUGUUUAUUAUACCUUUGUUGCUUUGGCGGGCCCGUCCUCGGACCACCGGCUUCUGCUGGUCAUGUGCCCGCCAGAGGACCUAAAACUCUGUUUGUUAAUAUUGUCUGAGUACUAUAUAAUAGUUA